AUUGAACGCUGGCGGCAUGCUUUACACAUGCAAGUCGAACGGCAGCGCGGGGGCAACCCUGGCGGCGAGUGGCGAACGGGUGAGUAAUGCAUCGGAACGUAUCCUGUAAUGGGGGAUAACGUAGCGAAAGUUACGCUAAUACCGCAUACGCUCGAGAGAGGAAAGUGGGGGAUCGCAAGACCUCACGUUAUAGGAGCGGCCGAUGUCCGAUUAGCUAGUUGGUGGGGUAAAGGCCUACCAAGGCGACGAUCGGUAGCUGGUCUCAGAGGAUGAUCAGCCACACUGGGACUGAGACACGGCCUAGACUCCUACGGGAGGCAGCAGUGGGGAAUUUUGGACAAUGGGCGAAAGCCUGAUCCAGCCAUGCCGCGUGCGGGAAGAAGGCCUUCGGGUUGUAAACCGCUUUAGUCCGGGAAAAAGGGGUGCGAGGAUAAUACCCUUGUGCUUUGAUGGUACUGGAAGAAUAAGCACCGGCUAACUACGUGCCAGCAGCCGCGGUAAUACGUAGGGUGCGAGCGUUAAUCGGAAUUACUGGGCGUACAGCGUGCGCAGGCGGUCUUGUAAGACAGUCGUGAAAGCCCUGGGCUUAACCUGGGAACUGCGAUUGUGACUGCAAGGCUAGAGUGUGUCAGAGGGGGGUGGAAUUCCACGUGUAGCAGUGAAAUGCGUAGAGAUGUGGAGGAACACCGAUGGCGAAGGCAGCCCCCUGGGAUAACACUGACGCUCAUGCACGAAAGCGUGGGGAGC
Molecule: ribosomal RNA, 747 nt
Filed under: uncultured Azonexus sp.
Lineage: Bacteria; Pseudomonadati; Pseudomonadota; Betaproteobacteria; Rhodocyclales; Azonexaceae
Description: bacterial SSU rRNA
Rfam family: Bacterial small subunit ribosomal RNA
Source: RNAcentral